This 476-nucleotide ribosomal RNA is filed under the name Rhizopus stolonifer. Its description in RNAcentral is "eukaryotic LSU rRNA". It matches the Rfam family "Eukaryotic large subunit ribosomal RNA", at positions 234 to 628 of the family's 3401-position model. Lineage: Eukaryota; Fungi; Mucoromycota; Mucoromycetes; Mucorales; Rhizopodaceae. The record is from RNAcentral.
CAUUAGUCUUUUGUGAUACAUUUUCAAUGAGUCAGGUUGUUUGGGAAUGCAGCCUAAAUUGGGAGGUAAAUCUCUCCUAAAGCUAAAUAUUUGCGAGAAACCGAUAGCGAACAAGUACCGUGAGGGAAAGAUGAAAAGAACUUUGAAAAGAGAGUUAAACAGUAUGUGAAAUUGUUAAAAGGGAACCGUUUGGAGCCAGUCUGGCUUUCCUAUAAUCAAUCUAGGCUUCGGCCUUGAUGCACUUGUAGGUUAUCGCCGGCCAACGACAAUUGGGAUCGCGAGGGAAAAAACCUUUGGAAAUGUAGCCAUUCUGCAAAGUUUGGUGUUAUAGUCCUUGGGAAAAUACCUUGUGCUCGAUUGAGGAUCGCAGUGAAUGCCUUUCGGGGCAGGAUGUGGUGAGGUAGGUUUGCUUGACCUAAGGUGACUUUCGGGUUGCUUUAGCGAUGGCUUACUCCUUGCUUCUAUCUUUAUUCGCU